UACGUAGGGGGCAAGCGUUGUCCGGAAUCAUUGGGCGUAAAGAGCGUGUAGGCGGCCCGAUAAGUCCGCUGUGAAAGUCCAGGGCUCAACCCUGGGAUGCCGGUGGAUACUGUCGGGCUCGAGUCCGGAAGAGGAGUGUGGAAUUCCUGGUGUAGCGGUGAAAUGCGCAGAUAUCAGGAGGAACACCAAUGGCGAAGGCAGGUCUCUGGGCAUUAACUGACGCUGAGGAGCGAAAGCAUGGGGAGCGAACAGG
Molecule: ribosomal RNA, 253 nt
Filed under: uncultured bacterium
Lineage: Bacteria
Description: partial 16S ribosomal RNA
Rfam family: Bacterial small subunit ribosomal RNA
Source: RNAcentral